This 477-nucleotide ribosomal RNA is filed under the name uncultured Acholeplasma sp. RNAcentral's name for it is "bacterial SSU rRNA". It matches the Rfam family "Bacterial small subunit ribosomal RNA", at positions 916 to 1382 of the family's 1533-position model. The record is from RNAcentral. Lineage: Bacteria; Bacillati; Mycoplasmatota; Mollicutes; Acholeplasmatales; Acholeplasmataceae.
GGGCCCCGCACAAGCGGUGGAGCAUGUGGUUCAAUUCGAUGCAAACCGAAGAACCUUACCCGGGUUUGACAUGCUGGUGGUACUGACCCGAAGGGAAGGGACCCAGGGCCUUCGGGCGCUUGGGAACCAGCACAGGUGGUGCAUGGUUGUCGUCAGCUCGUGUCGUGAGAUGUUGGGUUAAGUCCCGCAACGAGCGCAACCCUUAUUGCUAGUUACCAUCAUUAAGUUGGGGACUCUAGCGAGACUGCCAGUGAUAAACUGGAGGAAGUGGGGAUGACGUCAAAUCAUCAUGCCCCUUAUGACCUGGGCUACAAACGUGAUACAAUGGCUGAAACAAAGGGCAGCGAAGCAGUGAUGUGAAGCGAAACCCAAAAAAGCAGUCUCAGUUCGGAUUGAAGUCUGCAACUCGACUUCAUGAAGUCGGAAUCGCUAGUAAUCGCGAAUCAGAACGUCGCGGUGAAUACGUUCUCGGGGUUU